UAGAGUUGCAAAACUCCCAAACCCUUGUGAACCUACCAGUUACUUGUUGCUUCGGCGGGCAGCCCCUGGGAGGGGCCGCGCCUCUCGCGAGGUGCCCGCCGGAGGACCACCAAAACUCUUGAUUUAACGGUCUCUCUGAGUAAUAACCAAAUAAGUUA
This 158-nucleotide unclassified non-coding RNA is filed under the name uncultured Ascomycota. RNAcentral describes it as "sequence contains ITS1". The record is from RNAcentral. Lineage: Eukaryota; Fungi; Ascomycota.